Molecule: ribosomal RNA, 597 nt
Filed under: Triticum aestivum (bread wheat)
Lineage: Eukaryota; Viridiplantae; Streptophyta; Magnoliopsida; Poales; Poaceae
Description: partial small subunit ribosomal RNA
Source: RNAcentral
AUGUCCGCCCCUAAAUGUCAGGGUGGGAUGGGAUUCCAAGACAUGCAUCAGUUUAACUUAGCACUACUUGGAAAACAGGGGUGGCGCCUCAUGAUGAAGCCAAACUCCUUGUGUGCUAGAGUGUUAAAAGGUCGUUAUUUCCCAGAUUGUGAUUUUAUGCAAGCGUCUGUUCCUAGGUCAGCUUCGGCCACUUGGCGAGCAAUAAUUGCAAGCAGGGAAGCUUUGAAUCUGGGAUUAGUAAAAAGAGUUGGGGAUGGAAGUUCCAUCCGAGUGUGGACAGAGAAGUGGAUUCCAGGAACUAUUUCAAUGAUGCCCAUGCUAAAACCCGCCAACUCCACGGUUGAGCUCGUCUCUGAGCUAAUUGAUUCAAAUAAUUGGACGUGGCGUCAACAGGUGGUUCGUGACAAUUUUAUUGCUCCGGAUGCGGAGGCGAUUCUUAACAUCCCGCUACGUUUUGGAGGUGGGGAUGAUUUUCAUGCGUGGGCAUUUGACAGAACGGGUAAUUACGCUGUUAAGACCGCGUACCGUGCUCUUGUGACUCGAACAGAGCGGCUUGCUCUAGAGGAAGGGACGGCUACCGGAGCUAUCACAGAAUGA